AUAAAGUCCUCAACUUUUGAUCUCAGCUCCGGCGAACUUCACAUGUUCUCCUCCACCCAUGUUUUCCGCUUUAUCCUCCCAACCACCCUAGCCUACCCAUUAUAUAAACCCUCCAGCCUCCACCACACAGCAUCGCCAGUUUAAACUCAUCCUUCUUCACCGACCACUAUUAUUUCACUUGCAAUCGUCCUCUGUAAGAGGCUACAAGUACCGUUAAAUACCGCUUUGAAUCUUCCGGUGGAUUUAUCGAGUUCUUAGUCGGUGACGCCGAUUGGAAGAUUGCCCUUAGGAAUCCGUAUGCAAUUAGCAGUUUUUCUUUUCAUCUGUGUGAUUCUUGAUGUUUGUAAAUGAGAUAACCAGAUGAUCAAUGGCCAAUUCCUUUUAAAUUAUCAUAGCCCCAAAUCUUGCUUAUGUUGCAAUUGAGUUUCAUACGGAUGCCCCUGCCUGCUAACCAUGAGAUCGAAAAGUAACUAAGGCAAAAUUCAAUGAACAAAGAUCCUCUAUUUGAUUGAUUUCAGUUUUUUGGGGGGCUUUAUUUGGGUUUUAUGGAUUUAAUUGCACAUUAUUCAGUAGCAGUUUGUUUUCCUCUCAUCGGUUUUCUGAUUUCAUUCGGGGGUAUGUUCGAUGACCUCUCCAUCGCUGGCGAUCUUGGGUUUUCAGUUGCUCAUCCUCCCUCACAGACAGAGGUGGAAGACAUAAAAAAGCAGAUGCGAAGUUGAUAAUUGUUCAGAUACAAAGCUUACCUUUUGCCAUCUUCAAGGCGUAGGGCACCAUGACCUAAAGCCCGAGAUUUCACUAGGCUGGGUAAUGAUCACAUGUUCACACAUCCAAUGGAUUUUGCAACUCGGAGGAAGAAGCUUGCAAAAAGAUUGUACGUAUCUCUGAAAGAAUUUGAGGAAUAAUCGUUAUUGGAUGGUAUGGUGAAAUUGUGUAAAAAACUGUCGGAGUUGCUCCAAAUCGCUUACUUGCAAUGGUGUUAUAAGUUGUGAUUGAUAAUGGUUUCACAAAGAGAACCAGUAGCCGUGAUAAGGCAAUGAGGCUGAAUGAGCUGGUAAAUGAUCAGGAGAAUCAGCGGUUUGUGCUCAAUCACGAUAGAAUAAGGAAUGAUGAUGAAGAAAAAAAUCCUUAAACCUGAUAUUAUUUGGGCUUUUGGAACAGGGUAAAAUAGGAAAUCAAAUACAGUAGUGCCCUUAAAAGGACUUGUGUUUACAAGGUUCCUACAUACUGCUCUACGACUUGUACUAUAAUGUGUUCUUGGUGAUCACUAACAUGUUUUUGGUUCCUAAAUUUCCUCAUCAGGAUUUUGGACAACAGAUGGUGACACUGUUACACAUAUUCUUUGCCUUUUCGUGUUUAUCUUCU
RNAcentral lists this long non-coding RNA (1362 nucleotides) under Helianthus annuus (common sunflower). The record is from RNAcentral. Lineage: Eukaryota; Viridiplantae; Streptophyta; Magnoliopsida; Asterales; Asteraceae.